Molecule: non-coding RNA, 31 nt
Filed under: Mus musculus (house mouse)
Lineage: Eukaryota; Metazoa; Chordata; Mammalia; Rodentia; Muridae
Source: RNAcentral
UAUGGCUUCGCGGUGCACAUGAAGAUGUACC